RNAcentral lists this ribosomal RNA (654 nucleotides) under Salmonella enterica. Its description in RNAcentral is "partial 23S ribosomal RNA". It matches the Rfam family "Bacterial large subunit ribosomal RNA", at positions 1 to 686 of the family's 2925-position model. Lineage: Bacteria; Pseudomonadati; Pseudomonadota; Gammaproteobacteria; Enterobacterales; Enterobacteriaceae. The record is from RNAcentral.
GGGUUGUGAGGUUAAGCGACUAAGCGUACACGGUGGAUGCCCUGGCAGUCAGAGGCGAUGAAGGGCGUACUAAUCUGCGAUAAGCGCCGGUAAGGUGAUAUGAACCGUUAUAACCGGCGAUACCCGAAUGGGGAAACCCAGUGUGACUCGUCACACUAUCAUUAACUGAAUCCAUAGGUUAAUGAGGCGAACCGGGGGAACUGAAACAUCUAAGUACCCCGAGGAAAAGAAAUCAACCGAGAUUCCCCCAGUAGCGGCGAGCGAACGGGGAGGAGCCCAGAGCCUGAAUCAGCAUGUGUGUUAGUGGAAGCGUCUGGAAAGGCGCGCGAUACAGGGUGACAGCCCCGUACACAAAAGCGCAUGUGCUGUGAGCUCGAUGAGUAGGGCGGGACACGUGGUAUCCUGUCUGAAUAUGGGGGGACCAUCCUCCAAGGCUAAAUACUCCUGACUGACCGAUAGUGAACCAGUACCGUGAGGGAAAGGCGAAAAGAACCCCGGCGAGGGGAGUGAAAAAGAACCUGAAACCGUGUACGUACAAGCAGUGGGAGCACAGGUUUACCUGUGUGACUGCGUACCUUUUGUAUAAUGGGUCAGCGACUUAUAUUCUGUAGCAAGGUUAACCGAAUAGGGGAGCCGGAGGGAAACCGAGUCUUA